This 378-nucleotide ribosomal RNA is filed under the name uncultured bacterium. RNAcentral's name for it is "bacterial SSU rRNA". It matches the Rfam family "Bacterial small subunit ribosomal RNA", at positions 135 to 507 of the family's 1533-position model. The record is from RNAcentral.
GAUGGGGGAUAACUGCGCGAAAGCGUUGCUAAUACCGCAUACGACCUACGGGUGAAAGCAGGGGACCGCAAGGCCUUGCGUCGAUGGAGCGGCCGAUGCCGGAUUAGCUAGUUGGUGAGGUAAAGGCUCACCAAGGCGACGAUCCGUAGCUGGUCUGAGAGGACGACCCAGCCACACUGGGACUGAGACACGGCCCAGACUCCUACGGGAGGCAGCAGUGGGGAAUCUUGGACAAUGGGCGAAAGCCUGAUCCAGCAAUGCCGCGUGUGGGAAGAAGGCCUUCGGGUUGUAAACCACUUUUGGCGGGAAAGAAAUGGUCUGUGCUAAUACCACGGAUUGAUGACGGUACCCGCAGAAUAAGCACCGGCUAACUACGUG